Molecule: long non-coding RNA, 1927 nt
Organism: Equus caballus (horse)
Lineage: Eukaryota; Metazoa; Chordata; Mammalia; Perissodactyla; Equidae
Source: Ensembl
CUCUAAUUGUUGUUACUGCCUGCAAUAGUGGCAUGAAGCUCAACUAGGAUUUCUUAAGAGCUGAACUCCAAAGCAAGUUAAUUAAUAAAUAAGCAGCCACAAUUGUUUGUUGAGAAUGUGAUAAGUUCUAAGAAUUUACAGAGAAUGCGAAUGACAAAUAAAACUCCCACAAGGAACUUAGAAAGUACCUAGAUAAACUUGGCACAAGAAACCACCUGCAAACGUAAGAAGGAUUAUUAUGGAUCUGAGCUGGGCAAAGACCAGGUGUGUGUGUUGCUGUGUGUGAACAGAUCUUCGUCCUUGGCUGGGGCCAGAGUCUUCCAGCUUCUGGCAGGAGUUUCUAGAGCCCCUCAACCUGCAGAGAACUGACACCAAAGCUUUCCACAGCUGUAAGAGAGUCGGAGGAAGUGCCUUUGCACAAAACUGCUUGGAAAUGGGGCCAGCAGCUAGAUAAAGAACUGCAAAAGCAGAAAAUGGCCCAGGGUAUUUUUAAAACUCUUACAAAUAGGAGCAAGCCCAAAUUUGACAUUGGCUGGCUGUUUCAUGUGGCUUUCUCUUUCACCCACCUUCGCUUCAAAGGGAUAGUUUUUUUUUCCUCUCUCUGCCGAAAUACGUGGGCUCAGGUAGCAACGACUCAGCUCCAACAAACGGCGCAAGUUAACACUUGUGAGAGCUGCACUCAAGUAGCAAAGGAAGCUGAAGUUGAAGUAAAACCACACCUCCUUCCCCGCAGGUGACAAAGAUAACCUUCCCCGGUCUGGCUUUUUCCCUCCAGCAACAAGCAGGCUGAGGUGAAGGGCAACUGGGCAGGAAGGAGAGAGUGGAACUGGAGGUCAUCCCGUCUUCCCUACUGCCCUCUCUCCCUGCCUCUCCACUUUCCAUCUCCACCCAGAGCUGACCCAGUGCGGCCAUGUGAGGGGAACUGGCGGCACCAUGUUCUCGCUCUAAAACGUCUUCCCCGGCACCUUAUACCUCUGUUCUUUCUUUUUUCAAAAUAGUUCUUAGUAAGGGUUUGAUAAACUGCAUUUACCCUAUGGUGUAGAAGAUACCAUAGAAUCAUCCAUACUAUAGGUAAUUAAUGCACUUUUAUGUAUCCUCCUUUCUGGGGAUAGUCUUACUCUUAAGCCAAAUUAGUGGGGCAUUUCAGGCAUCAGUAAUUCUAGAAUGGGAGAAAGUGAACAUAGAGGGUAUGCUUUGGAUUCUAAAAUCAUAUCAUGAAAACACUAAUUCGAAAAGACAUAUGCACCUCCUAUGUUCAUUGCAGGAUUAUUCACAAUAGCCAAGACUUGGAACCAAUCUAAGUGCCCAUCAAAGGAUGAAUGCAUAAAGAGGAUGUGGUAUAUAUAUAUAUAUAUGUAUAUAUAUAAAUAUAUGUAUAUACAAAAUGGAAUCCUACUCAGCCAUAAAAAAUGCCAAAUCGUGUAAUUUCUAAGAACAUGGAUGGACCUUGAGGGUAUUAUGCUAAGCGGAAUAAGUCAGACAGAGAAAGACAAAUACCAUAUGAUCUCACUCAUCUGUGGAAGAUAAACAAACAAACACUUAGAUUUGGAGAACAGAGAGAAAGGGGGUGGCGGAGGGCAAAAGGAGUAAAGGAGCACAUACGUAUGGUGAUGAAUGGAAACUAGACUAUUGGUGGUGAACACAUGCAGUCUAUAUAGAAGCUGCCAUAUAAUGAUGUACACCUGAAAUUUACACAAUGUUAUAAACCAAUGUGACCUCAAUAAUUUAAAAAAUAAAAUCAUAUCACAUGAGUAGCUACCUACUCAUAUAUGUAAAAAGACAGCAGUCUACACCCCUAAACACACUUAAAACACACAUCAAACACUCACUAUUAAGUGACCUGUGUUCCUACAGUCCUCUGCAGAAAAGCAAAGGACCUUUGUUUUGAGUGAAACUUGUGAUUAUGUGCAAUGAUCAAGGCCCAGGC